AGAGUAGUGGUGUAGUGGUUAUCACGUCUGCCUCACACGCAGAAGGUCUUGGGUUCAAUCCCCAAUUACUCUA
Transfer RNA from Smittium mucronatum, 73 nucleotides. It matches the Rfam family "tRNA". From Rfam's summary of the family: Transfer RNA (tRNA) molecules are approximately 80 nucleotides in length. Their secondary structure includes four short double-helical elements and three loops (D, anti-codon, and T loops). Further hydrogen bonds mediate the characteristic L-shaped molecular structure. tRNAs have two regions of fundamental functional importance: the anti-codon, which is responsible for specific mRNA codon recognition, and the 3' end, to which the tRNAs corresponding amino acid is attached (by aminoacyl-tRNA synthetases). tRNAs cope with the degeneracy of the genetic code in two manners: having more than one tRNA (with a specific anti-codon) for a particular amino acid; and 'wobble' base-pairing, i.e. permitting non-standard base-pairing at the 3rd anti-codon position. NCBI's taxonomy places the organism in Eukaryota, Fungi, Kickxellomycota, Harpellomycetes, Harpellales, Legeriomycetaceae. The record is from Rfam.